This 372-nucleotide ribosomal RNA is filed under the name Triticum aestivum (bread wheat). Its description in RNAcentral is "partial small subunit ribosomal RNA". Lineage: Eukaryota; Viridiplantae; Streptophyta; Magnoliopsida; Poales; Poaceae. The record is from RNAcentral.
AUGUUUGAAGAAAUAAUUGAGAAAUUGGGUUAUGAAAUGUCAGGUAGAAUUGAUAUCUAUUGGUUGCCCCCUGGGUGUCAGCUUAUUGAAGGUGGUGCUAGGCUUUUGGCUAAUGAUACUGAUGUGGAUUGUAUGUAUCUAAAGAUAAAUCUAGGGCACCACUUUCAAAUGAUAUACCUGGAUCAUUUAGAUAGCCACAUUUCCGCAGGAGGAGCAGAAUGGGAUGAUGUUGUGGCUAAUCCAGUAGCACAAAUCCCUCCUGUUUUCAGCCUAAGGAAGAAGGAAAUGAAUGCAAGUGAGAACAAAGAUCCCUGUGAAAGCAAUGUUUCUUGUGGUGUUGUGGAUGAAAGUGUUGAAAUUGAGAGCACUUAG